UACGGAGGGGGCAAGCGUUGUUCGGAAUUACUGGGCGUAAAGGGCGCGCAGGCGGCUGCUCAAGUCAGGCGUGAAAGGCCUGGGCUCAACCCGGGAAUUGCGCUUGAGACUGGGCUGGCUUGAGUGCGGGAGAGGAUGGUGGAAUUCCCAGUGUAGAGGUGAAAAUUCGUAGAUAUUCGCAAGAACACCAGUGGCGAAGGCGGCUCACUGGCCCGGUACUGACGCUGAGGUGCGAAAGCGUGGGGAGCAAACAGGG
This 256-nucleotide ribosomal RNA is filed under the name uncultured bacterium. Its description in RNAcentral is "partial 16S ribosomal RNA". It matches the Rfam family "Bacterial small subunit ribosomal RNA", at positions 524 to 777 of the family's 1533-position model. The record is from RNAcentral.